GAGUUUGAUCAUGGCUCAGGACGAACGCUGGCGGCGUGCCUAAUACAUGCAAGUCGAACGAAUUGGUGCUUGCAUCAUUGAGUGGCGAACUGGUGAGUAACACGUGGGAAACCUGCCCAGAAGCGGGGGAUAACACCUGGAAACAGAUGCUAAUACCGCAUAACAACUUGACCGCAUGGUCCGAGUUGAAAGAUGUUCGUAUCACUUUUGGAUGGUCCCGCGGCGUAUUAGCUAGAUGGUGGGGUAACGGCUCACCAUGGCAAUGAUACGUAGCCGACCUGAGAGGGUAAUCGGCCACAUUGGGACUGAGACACGGCCCAAACUCCUACGGGAGGCAGCAGUAGGGAAUCUUCCACAAUGGGCGAAAGUCUGAUGGAGCAACGCCGCGUGAGUGAAGAAAGGUUUCGGCUCGUAAAACUCUGUUGUUAAAGAAGAACGUAUCUGAGGUAAUUCAGGUAUUGACGGUAUUUAACCAGAAAGCCACGGCUAACUACGUGCCAGCAGCCGCGGUAAUACGUAUGUGGCAAGCGCUGUCCGGAUUUAUGGGC
This 548-nucleotide ribosomal RNA is filed under the name uncultured Lactobacillus sp. RNAcentral's name for it is "bacterial SSU rRNA". It matches the Rfam family "Bacterial small subunit ribosomal RNA", at positions 9 to 559 of the family's 1533-position model. Lineage: Bacteria; Bacillati; Bacillota; Bacilli; Lactobacillales; Lactobacillaceae. The record is from RNAcentral.